This 279-nucleotide ribosomal RNA is filed under the name uncultured Desulfobulbus sp. RNAcentral describes it as "partial 16S ribosomal RNA". It matches the Rfam family "Bacterial small subunit ribosomal RNA", at positions 1105 to 1382 of the family's 1533-position model. The record is from RNAcentral. Lineage: Bacteria; Pseudomonadati; Thermodesulfobacteriota; Desulfobulbia; Desulfobulbales; Desulfobulbaceae.
UUGCCUUUAGUUGCCAGCAGUUCGGCUGGGCACUCUAAAGGGACCUGCCGGUGUUAAACCGGAGGAAGGUGGGGAUGAACGUCAAGUCCUCAUGGCCUUUAUGACCAGGGCUACACACGUACUACAAUGGCCGAUACAAAGGGCAGCGACACUGCGAGGUGAAGCCAAUCCCGUAAAAUCGGUCUCAGUCCGGAUUGGAGUCUGCAACUCGACUCCAUGAAGUUGGAAUCGCUAGUAAUCGUGGAUCAGCAUGCCACGGUGAAUACGUUCCCGGGCCUU